RNAcentral lists this unclassified non-coding RNA (395 nucleotides) under soil metagenome. RNAcentral's name for it is "partial contains 5.8S ribosomal RNA, internal transcribed spacer 2, and large subunit ribosomal RNA". The stretch from base 1 to 120 matches the Rfam family "5.8S ribosomal RNA", at positions 35 to 154 of the family's 154-position model. The record is from RNAcentral.
GAUGAAGAACGCAGCGAAAUGCGAUAAGUAAUGUGAAUUGCAGAAUUCAGUGAAUCAUCGAAUCUUUGAACGCACCUUGCGCUCCUUGGUAUUCCGAGGAGCAUGCCUGUUUGAGUGUCAUUAAAUUCUCAACCAUUAUCAACUUUUGCUGAUAAUGGCUUGGAUGUGGGGGUCUAUUUUGCUGGCUUCUCAGAUAGUCAGCUCCCCUUAAAUGCAUUAGCCGGUGCCCCGCGUGGACUGUCUAUUGGUGUGAUAAUUAUCUACGCUAUGGACAUCUGCAAUCAUAUGGGUUUGCGCUGCUUCUAACAGUCUGUUGAUUCAGACAAUACAUGACAAUUUGACCUCAAAUCAGGUAGGACUACCCGCUGAACUUAAGCAUAUCAAUAAGCGGAGGA